CAGCCGCCGCGGGAAUACGGAGGGUGCGAGCGUUAAUCGGAAUAACUGGGCGUAAAGGGCACGCAGGCGGUGACUUAAGUGAGGUGUGAAAGCCCCGGGCUUAACCUGGGAAUUGCAUUUCAUACUGGGUCGCUAGAGUACUUUAGGGAGGGGUAGAAUUCCACGUGUAGCGGUGAAAUGCGUAGAAAUGUGGAGGAAUACCGAAGGCGAAGGCAGCCCCUUGGGAAUGUACUGACGCUCAUGUGCGAAAGCGUGGGGAGCAAACAGGAUUAGAUACCCGGGUAGUCCCUGUCUCUUAUAC
Molecule: ribosomal RNA, 301 nt
Filed under: uncultured bacterium
Lineage: Bacteria
Description: partial 16S ribosomal RNA
Rfam family: Bacterial small subunit ribosomal RNA
Source: RNAcentral